ACACUGGCCGGCAAGCCGCUCGCAGCCGCCAUUUUGUCCGUCUUCCUGCUACCGCUUGUCGCUCGUGUGUUCGUUGAUGAGGUGGAACAUAAAGAGCGCGUAAGGUUUCGCGCCCAAGCUCCCAAGCUUUUCCACAUUGAAUUGCGGCUUCAAGGAACGGCCUCACAAUGAAUUACGGCCGGGCACCGCCACAGAUCGACGGCAUGACGUCGUUGAAGGUGGACAACCUCACGUAUCGCACCACGCCGGAGGACCUGAAGCGGGUCUUCGAAAAGUACGGGGACGUCGGCGACGUCUACAUACCGCGGCAUCCCUACACACGUGAAAGCCGUGGAUUCGCCUUCGUGCGAUUCUACGACAAACGCGACUGCGAGGACGCCAUGGACUCGCUGGAUGGCUACAUCCUGGAUGGCCGCGAAUUGCGCGUCCAAAUGGCGCGCUAUGGGCGGCCAUCGGACCCGUACCGCCAGUCGUCUUCGCGAAACGUCAGACCGAGCCGCCGUUCCCGUUCGAGGUCGAGGAGCCGUGGUCGCCGGUCCAGGAGCCGACGACGUUCAUCAUCUAGAAGCCGUAGGCGGUCCAGGAGCCGGUCCCGGCAUCGCCAGUCAACCUCUCGCAGGUCCAGGAGUCGUUCAAAGGAGCGUAGGCGUUCCCGCAGCCGCUCUCGCAAGAGCCGGAGCCGAUCCAGGGAUCGUCGCAAGAGUCGCAGCAAGUCCAGGGAUCGUAGUCGUAGCCGUUCUCGAAACCGUGAAGUUAAAAGGAGUCGUUCCAAGUCGAGGAACAGAAGUCGCUCAAAAUCCAGAGAUCGUAGCCGAUCUAAGGAACGUGGAGCAAAAUCCAAGCGACGCAGCCAAUCAAAGUCAAAGGGUCGUCGCAGUCGGUCAAAGUCCAAGGAACGUAGUCGGUCCAAGUCUAAGGAACGGAGCCGAUCAAAGACGAAGGAUUACCGCUCCAAUUCUGGCGAACGCAGCCACAGCAAAGAUCGCAGCCGAUCCAAAUCCAAGGAACGUGGCGAAAGCCAACACAAGAGCCGAUCAAGGUCUGCGGAACGCGGUCAGAGCCAGCGACGGAGCCGGUCCAAGUCCAAGGAACACAGUCGCUCAAACUCCAGAGACCGCAGCCGAUCUCGGGGCAACAGUCGCAGCCAGUCCAAGGAACACGGCGACGGCAAGUCACGUCGUAGCCGCAGCAGAAGCCUCCAUGACGGCAAGCAGCGAGAUCGCAGCCGUAGUCGAUCCCACAACGGAGAUGGCCGCAGCCCAUCGCAGAGCCCAAGAAAGGUGGCUGAUGAAAGGGCUGAUUCGAGGUCGCGGUCAAGGUCACGCAGCCCGGGAGAUAAGCACAGUUCACCACCUCCAGAUCCAGCAGAGUCCAACGGCGAUCAUGAGAUGCGCUCACCUGAACGAGACCGCCGCUCUCGAUCCAAAUCGCAGGACUCCAACUGAGACAUGCCCUGAGGUGUGAGGGCGUUGGUAAAAGGCGUUGGUGGCUCUGUCGAAAUGGCGGGACACCAUGUACGAGUUCCAGCUGCGCUGAGUUCGGGCGGUGGUUUCCAGAGUGCGGGACGUGUGCUGAAGCUUGCGUGCUACCCCCAACCCACUUGCUCAUCACCUCCAGGCUGUCUUUCUUUUUUUUUUUUUUUUCUAGCCAUUUGCCUCCUCCCGACUAAAUUCCAAGGACAAGUUCUAUUUGCAGAGAAAUUGGCAAAUGUCGAGGAAUGAAAUUUAAGAAGCUGACGUUUGCAUAUCCUGGGCAAACAUGUAGCUUUUGUUUUUGUUGAAAUAGGGGGAAAUUACUUGGUUGAUCUCAGUGGGCUUUCUUUAAGUGGUUAAGCUUUAUAAAAUUGCUAGCUUUCAGCAGUUAUGCAGCUUCUGAUCAGUUGUGCUGGCGUGUGCGCAAGCAAAAAUUUUAAUCCCGGCCGUGAUAUCUGUAAAAGCACACUCUUGGUACUACAAGCAAGAAUUUAGACCACAGGCUUGAUACAUGUGAGAGCACACUAUUCGUUCUACAAAUAAUUUUUACUUGGUCCUUUGAAGUAGACUUUUUUUUUUACUUUUGUUGAAUGCCUGAUGUCGUAACUGAACAACCGUUUCAAAGGUACCGCUUGAGCAGCAAAGCCUGGUUGCUCGAGGCAGCUCGCAAGAGACCGAGAAGGCCGAGCGAGCGGUUUGGGGGGCAGAAGGGUGUUGGCGGUCCGGCGGGCGGUUUGCAGCCGGAGCUGUGGCAUGCUGUUGGGUGGUGCCGGUGUGUUGCUGAUGAGCAGCGUUGCUGUGCGGGAAAACCGGCCGGGAUCCCUACCUGAGGGGGCGUGUCGUGUAGCAGCCCGGCAGUAGUUCCGGCUCGUGUUCCAGCUUUGCCCCGUGCGAUGGCGUUGCGGUGGUCCUGGCACGUUCGCUGUCCUGUGGUGCCGAGUUCCGUGUGGUGGGGCAUUUGCCGAAGGAGCUGUGUGGUUUGGUGCCACUGCUUUCUUUCUUUCUUUUCUUCUACAUUUACCUCUAGGUGUGUCGUCCCUGAAGACCAAAGGCAGCUUGCGAGCAGGAAGUUUCGGAGUAGAGUAUGCAGAGCGACUUUGUCCUUUUUUUUCUUUCUUUGGUGCCAAAGCUUGAGCUGGAUUUGUUCAUGGUAGGGCUUACUUCUAGUAACUUGAUUAGUAUGUGCAGUUCUCGAUGCCCGAAAUUUCAGCAUUGAGCAGCAAAUGUUAACUUUGCGCUGCUUCUGAAAUACUUAAAUUAACUGUCAGAGUGAAGGGUUACUUGUCAGCAUUGUUGUCAGAAAGCACCAGAUGGUCACAAUUUGUGUUCAUUUUGCUGUUGCAGAACUGAAUGUGCUGUGUGCGGGUAUCAACCGCAACCAAUGCACAGUAUUUAUUGCUGGCGCAUUUUGGAGCAGGCACUUGAUGCCACAUUGCCUACUCAGUGUGCUUGGCUUUAGUACUACAGUAUAGCAUUCAAACAGUUUGCAUAAGGUGGUAAAAACAAAAUUUUAAUUUCAGAACAUUGGGCGUAUUGGCCCAUUUUACCGUUCAAAAAGUUUACUGUUAAGCAGUCCUCGAUGUGUCUGCAUGCUCUGCUCUUAGGACUUCACAUUGGUCGUGUAGAUAACUAUAGUUCAAAAGUUGCCAUCAAAUAAAGGUCUUCAGCCUUAA
This 3145-nucleotide unclassified non-coding RNA is filed under the name Dermacentor andersoni. Its description in RNAcentral is "serine/arginine-rich splicing factor 2-like". The record is from RNAcentral. Lineage: Eukaryota; Metazoa; Arthropoda; Arachnida; Ixodida; Ixodidae.